GAUGAACGCUGGCGGCGUGCCUAAUACAUGCAAGUCGAGCGAACGGACGAGAAGCUUGCUUCUCUGAUGUUAGCGGCGGACGGGUGUGUAACACGUGGAUAACCUACCUAUAAGACUGGGAUAACUUCGGGAAACCGGAGCUAAUACCGGAUAAUAUUUUGAACCGCAUGGUUCAAAAGUGAAAGACGGUCUUGCUGUCACUUAUAGAUGGAUCCGCGCUGCAUUAGCUAGUUGGUAAGGUAACGGCUUACCAAGGCAGCGAUGCAUAGCCGACCUGAGAGGGUGAUCGGCCACACUGGAACUGAGACACGGUCCAGACUCCUACGGGAGGCAGCAGUAGGGAAUCUUCCGCAAUGGGCGAAAGCCUGACGGAGCAACGCCGCGUGAGUGAUGAAGGUCUUCGGAUCGUAAAACUCUGUUAUUAGGGAAGAACAUAUGUGUAAGUAACUGUGCACAUCUUGACGGUACCUAAUCAGAAAGCCACGGCUAACUACGUG
RNAcentral lists this ribosomal RNA (497 nucleotides) under uncultured bacterium. RNAcentral's name for it is "partial 16S ribosomal RNA". It matches the Rfam family "Bacterial small subunit ribosomal RNA", at positions 28 to 507 of the family's 1533-position model. The record is from RNAcentral.